Molecule: ribosomal RNA, 473 nt
Filed under: uncultured bacterium
Lineage: Bacteria
Description: bacterial SSU rRNA
Rfam family: Bacterial small subunit ribosomal RNA
Source: RNAcentral
AGUACUCCUACGGGGAGGCAGCAGUGGGGGAAUAUUGCACAAUGGGCGCAAGCCUGAUGCAGCCAUGCCGCGUGUGUGAAGAAGGACCUUCGGGUUGUAAAGCACUUUCAGUCGUGAGGAAGGUAGUGUAGUUAAUAGCUGCAGUAUUUGACGUUAGCGACAGAAGAAGCACCGGCUAACUCCGUGCCAGCAGCCGCGGUAAUACGGAGGGUGCGAGCGUUAAUCGGAAUUACUGGGCGUAAAGCGCAUGCAGGUGGUUUGUUAAGUCAGAUGUGAAAGCCCGGGGCUCAACCUCGGAAUAGCAUUUGAAACUGGCAGACUAGAGUACUGUAGAGGGGGGUAGGAAUUUCAGGUGUAGCGGUGAAAUGCGUAGAGAUCUGAAGGAAUACCGGUGGCGAAGGCGGCCCCCUGGACAGAUACUGACACUCAGAUGCGAAAGCGUGGGGAGCAAACAGGAUUAGAUACCCUGGUAG